RNAcentral lists this ribosomal RNA (400 nucleotides) under uncultured bacterium. Its description in RNAcentral is "bacterial SSU rRNA". It matches the Rfam family "Bacterial small subunit ribosomal RNA", at positions 355 to 746 of the family's 1533-position model. The record is from RNAcentral.
UAGGGAAUAUUGCACAAUGGAGGAAACUCUGAUGCAGCAACGCCGCGUGAGUGAAGAAGGCCCUUGGGUCGUAAAGCUCUUUAGCCUGGAAAGAAGUGCCCUUAAGUGAACAAUUUGAGGGUGUGACGGUACCAGGAGAAUAAGGUCCGGCUAAUUUCGUGCCAGCAGCCGCGGUAAUACGAAAGGACCAAGCGUUACUCGGAAUCACUGGGCGUAAAGCGCGCGUAGGCGGUCUCGUAUGUCGAUUGUGAAAUCCCCGGGCUCAACCUGGGAACCGCAGUCGAAACUGCAAGACUUGAAUGUUGGAGAGGUUGGGGGAAUACCUAGUGGAGAAGUGAAAUUCGUAGAGAUUAGGUGGAACACCAGAGGCGAAGGCGCCUGACUGGCCAAACAUUGACGC